This 339-nucleotide long non-coding RNA is filed under the name Mus pahari (shrew mouse). RNAcentral's name for it is "predicted gene 12711 (MGP_PahariEiJ_G0004584.1)". The record is from RNAcentral. Lineage: Eukaryota; Metazoa; Chordata; Mammalia; Rodentia; Muridae.
ACCUUCCUCUGCACUCAGGCUCCCUUGCCUUAGCUGCUGUCUGGGAAUCUUUGUAGAGUAGCUAGCUAGCUGCCUCUCUGGGGACCAUAUGCAAAGACUCACUCAACUCUACAUGGACCCCUACACAGACGGGCUCUCUUCUCAGCCUCUCACCUGAAGGCGCUUCAAACAUCAAUGCCAAGAUCUUUGCCUUCUCCACCUCUAGAACUGUAAGAAGAUUCUUCAAUGUGCAAAUUGCCUGGUCUGUGGCUGCCAGUACACAGCAGAUGAGCCAGAAACUCCAUCUGUCCAUUUGACUCAGUGACCUUGUGCCUCAGAAUGAUGGAGCCCAACUCUGGG